Molecule: ribosomal RNA, 215 nt
Filed under: Escherichia coli
Lineage: Bacteria; Pseudomonadati; Pseudomonadota; Gammaproteobacteria; Enterobacterales; Enterobacteriaceae
Also listed under: 1 other name
Description: partial 23S ribosomal RNA
Rfam family: Bacterial large subunit ribosomal RNA
Source: RNAcentral
GAAGGUGUGCUGUGAGGCAUGCUGGAGGUAUCAGAAGUGCGAAUGCUGACAUAAGUAACGAUAAAGCGGGUGAAAAGCCCGCUCGCCGGAAGACCAAGGGUUCCUGUCCAACGUUAAUCGGGGCAGGGUGAGUCGACCCCUAAGGCGAGGCCGAAAGGCGUAGUCGAUGGGAAACAGGUUAAUAUUCCUGUACUUGGUGUUACUGCGAAGGGGGG